AAAAUAAUCGCAGAAAAAAAUGUUCGUAAUGUUGGAGAAGAAACUGCAGGAACUGGAAUCGGAACUCGACGUCGUGUUCCGCCUCCCACCCGACCAAAUGGCGGCGGAGCACGAUGACGUUAAAGAGCGGUUCAGAUUCCUCGACAAACUCCGGGCGGCGGAGGGCGGCUCCCAGCACCCGCAAAACUCAGACCAACUCCGCGAUAUAGACG
Molecule: long non-coding RNA, 212 nt
Filed under: Salvia miltiorrhiza (redroot sage)
Lineage: Eukaryota; Viridiplantae; Streptophyta; Magnoliopsida; Lamiales; Lamiaceae
Description: long non-coding RNA (SMIL_LNC010079)
Source: RNAcentral